RNAcentral lists this ribosomal RNA (213 nucleotides) under uncultured bacterium. Its description in RNAcentral is "partial 16S ribosomal RNA". It matches the Rfam family "Bacterial small subunit ribosomal RNA", at positions 1290 to 1500 of the family's 1533-position model. The record is from RNAcentral.
AGUUCGGAUUGUAGUCUGCAACUCGACUACAUGAAGCUGGAAUCGCUAGUAAUCGCGGAUCAGAAUGCCGCGGUGAAUACGUUCCCGGGUCUUGUACACACCGCCCGUCACACCAUGGGAGUCAGUAACGCCCGAAGCCGGUGACCCAACCUAUUCUGGAGGGAGCCGUCGAAGGCGGGACGGAUGACUGGGGUGAAGUCGUAACAAGGUACC